Molecule: ribosomal RNA, 562 nt
Filed under: uncultured Microdochium
Lineage: Eukaryota; Fungi; Ascomycota; Sordariomycetes; Xylariales
Description: eukaryotic LSU rRNA
Rfam family: 5.8S ribosomal RNA (bases 208-361)
Source: RNAcentral
CUUGGUCAUUUAGAGCAAGUAAGAGUCGUAACGAGGUCUCCGUAGGUGAACCUGCGGAGGGAUCAUUACUGAGUUUUUAACUCUCCAAACCAUGUGAACUUACCACUGUUGCCUCGGUGGUCGGUGCUGGAAACAGUGCUGCCACCGGUGGACUACUAAACUCUGUUAAUUUUUGUCAAAUCUGAAUCAAACUAAGAAAUAAGUUAAAACUUUCAACAACGGAUCUCUUGGUUCUGGCAUCGAUGAAGAACGCAGCGAAAUGCGAUAAGUAAUGUGAAUUGCAGAAUUCAGUGAAUCAUCGAAUCUUUGAACGCACAUUGCGCCCAUUAGUAUUCUAGUGGGCAUGCCUGUCCGAGCGUCAUUUCAACCCUUAAGCCUAGCUUAGUGUUGGGAGACUGCCUAAUACGCAGCUCCUCAAAACCAGUGGCGGAGUCUGUUCGUGCUCUGAGCGUAGUAAUUUUUUAUCUCGCUUCUGCAAGCCGGCCAGACGACAGCCAUAAACCGCACCCUCUCGGGGGGCACUUUUUAAUGGUUGACCUCGGAUCAGUAGGAAUACCCGCUG